UACGGAGGGGGUUAGCGUUGUUCGGAAUUACUGGGGCGUAAAGCGCGCGUAGGCGGACUAUUAAGUCAGGGGUGAAAUCCCCGGGGCUCAACCCCGGAACUGCCCUUGAUACUGGUAGUCUUGAGUUCGAGAGAGGUGAGUGGAAUUCCGAGUGUAGAGGUGAAAUUCGUAGAUAUUCGGAGGAACACCAGUGGCGAAGGCGGCUCACUGGCUCGAUACUGACGCUGAGGUGCGAAAGUGUGGGGAGCAAACAGGAUUAGAUACCCCCGUAGUCCCUGAGCGGG
Molecule: ribosomal RNA, 284 nt
Filed under: uncultured prokaryote
Description: partial 16S ribosomal RNA
Rfam family: Bacterial small subunit ribosomal RNA
Source: RNAcentral